AUUGAACGCUGGCGGCAUGCCUUACACAUGCAAGUCGAACGGCAGCACGGACUUCGGUCUGGUGGCGAGUGGCGAACGGGUGAGUAAUAUAUCGGAACAUACCCUAGAGUGGGGGAUAACGUAGCGAAAGUUACGCUAAUACCGCAUACGAACUAAGGUUGAAAGCGGGGGAUCUUCGGACCUCGUGCUCAUGGAGUGGCCGAUAUCUGAUUAGCUAGUUGGUGAGGUAAAGGCUCACCAAGGCGACGAUCAGUAGCUGGUUUGAGAGAACGACCAGCCACACUGGAACUGAGACACGGUCCAGACUCCUACGGGAGGCAGCAGUGGGGAAUUUUGGACAAUGGGCGCAAGCCUGAUCCAGCAAUGCCGCGUGAGUGAAGAAGGCCUCGG
Molecule: ribosomal RNA, 390 nt
Filed under: uncultured bacterium
Lineage: Bacteria
Description: bacterial SSU rRNA
Rfam family: Bacterial small subunit ribosomal RNA
Source: RNAcentral